UGAAGGAUCUUGCAUUAAGUGGAGUCCUACCGGCUGAAUUCGGAAAUCUUACUAAUCUGAUACAACUUGAUCUCACUCUUAAUUAUAUCAAUGGAUCAAUUCCUCCGAGUUUUGCUCAGCUCCCUCUUGUCAAUCUGUCUCUUCUGGGAAACCGGCUAAGUGCUACAAUUCCAAAGGAAAUUGGUGACAUUACUUCACUUGAGCA
Molecule: long non-coding RNA, 205 nt
Organism: Juglans microcarpa x Juglans regia
Lineage: Eukaryota; Viridiplantae; Streptophyta; Magnoliopsida; Fagales; Juglandaceae
Exons: 3
Source: RefSeq, a predicted model, not a curated record